GGAUGAAUGGCUGAGUGGUUGAAAGCAUCAAUUUUGAAAAUUGACAUAAUUUUUAUCGUAGGUUCAAAUCCUACUUCAUCCG
RNAcentral lists this transfer RNA (82 nucleotides) under Gelidiella acerosa. RNAcentral's name for it is "tRNA-Ser". It matches the Rfam family "tRNA". Rfam says of the family: Transfer RNA (tRNA) molecules are approximately 80 nucleotides in length. Their secondary structure includes four short double-helical elements and three loops (D, anti-codon, and T loops). Lineage: Eukaryota; Rhodophyta; Florideophyceae; Gelidiales; Gelidiellaceae. The record is from RNAcentral.